UUAAGGCAAAAAAAAUUUACUAUCAUAGUAUUACAAUCAUAUUAAUAUAUGAUGCUUAAUAUAAGCGCUUUUUAUUUUCAGCUGAGUUCAUUUGUAAUAAAAAUAAACGAAAUGCUAUUUAUAAUAUAAGCGCUUUUUAUUUUCAGAUGUACCUCUAACAUUUCUAAAAAUAGAUAAAUGCUAUUUGUACACUCCAUCUACCCUAGGAUAAAAUUGCUUUAAAAAAUAAUAUAUAAAAAUAUACAGAGCAUACUGAAUUAUAAAUCAUUUUGUGUCGGCUAUCUAAUAUUUUAAAAUUUUAAUUUUACUAUCCAUUCUUUAAAUUUGUUUGGUUUGAGUCAGUCAAUAGCACUUUGACUCAAAAUUUAAGUUAAUUGUUUAUUUUAAUAAAUUUAUAGUUACAAGAAUUAUAUAAAGUAUACUAAUUAAAUAUGUGAAGAUAAAUAAUAUAUUUAAAAUUUGAGGUCAAAUUGCCCUUGACAGAUUAAAAUCAAAUAAAUAAAAAGAUUGGAUAGUAAAAUCAAACUUUUGAAAAAUUGAAAAGUCAACUCAAAAUUGUUCACAAUUCAGAUAAAUUCGGAACAUUUUUUACCC
This 594-nucleotide long non-coding RNA is filed under the name Ananas comosus (pineapple). RNAcentral describes it as "long non-coding RNA (ACOM_LNC032390)". Lineage: Eukaryota; Viridiplantae; Streptophyta; Magnoliopsida; Poales; Bromeliaceae. The record is from RNAcentral.